Molecule: ribosomal RNA, 780 nt
Filed under: uncultured bacterium
Lineage: Bacteria
Description: bacterial SSU rRNA
Rfam family: Bacterial small subunit ribosomal RNA
Source: RNAcentral
GACGAACGCUGGCGGCGUGCUUAACACAUGCAAGUCGAACGAGAAUCUGUGGAUCGAGGAUUCGUCCAAGUGAAGCAGAGGACAGUGGCGGACGGGUGAGUAACGCGUGAGGAACCUGCCUUUCAGGGGGGGACAACAGUUGGAAACGACUGCUAAUACCGCACGAUACAUUUGGGUGGCAUCAUCUGAAUGUCAAAGAUUUAUCGCUGAAAGAUGGCCCCGCGUCUGAUUAGCUAGUUGGUGAGGUAACGGCCCACCAAGGCGACGAUCAGUAGCCGGACUGAGAGGUUGACCGGCCACGUUGGGACUGAGAUACGGCCCAGACUCCUACGGGAGGCAGCAGUGGGGAAUAUUGGGCAAUGGGCGCAAGCCUGACUCAGCAACGCCGCGUGAAGGAAGAAGGCUUUCGGGUUGUAAACUUCUUUUAAGAGGGAAGAGCAGAAGACUGUACCUCUAGAAUAAGCCACGGCUAACUACGUGCCAGCAGCCGCGGUAAUACGUAGGUGGCAAGCGUUGUCCGGAUUUACUGGGUGUAAAGGGCGUGCAGCCGGGAAUGCAAGUCAGAUGUGAAAUCCAUGGGCUUAACCCAUGAACUGCAUUUGAAACUGUAUUUCUUGAGUACUGGAGAGGCAAUCGGAAUUCCUAGUGUAGCGGUGAAAUGCGUAGAUAUUAGGAGGAACACCAGUGGCGAAGGCGGAUUGCUGGACAGCAACUGACGGUGAGGCGCGAAAGUGUGGGGAGCAAACAGGAUUAGAUACCCUGGUAGUCCACACUGUAAAC